UACGUAGGGUGCGAGCGUUGUCCGGAAUUACUGGGCGUAAAGAGCUCGUAGGCGGUUUGUCGCGUCUGCCGUGAAAGUCCGGGGCUCAACUCCGGAUCUGCGGUGGGUACGGGCAGACUAGAGUGAUGUAGGGGAGACUGGAAUUCCUGGUGUGAGCGGUGGAAAUGCGCAGAUAUCAGGAGGAACACCGGUGGCGAAGGCGGUUCUCUGGGCAUUACCUGACGCUGGAGGAGCGAAAGCGUGGGGAGCGAACAGG
This 256-nucleotide ribosomal RNA is filed under the name uncultured bacterium. RNAcentral describes it as "partial 16S ribosomal RNA". It matches the Rfam family "Bacterial small subunit ribosomal RNA", at positions 524 to 776 of the family's 1533-position model. The record is from RNAcentral.